GAUGAACGCUAGCGGCAGGCUUAACACAUGCAAGUCGAGGGGUAUAGGGAGCUUGCUUCCUAGAGACCGGCGCACGGGUGCGUAACGCGUAUGCAAUCUACCUUUUGCAGAGGGAUAGCCCAGAGAAAUUUGGAUUAAUACCUCAUAGUAUAGCAGUUUCGCAUGAAACCACUAUUAAAGUCACAACGGCAAAAGAUGAGCAUGCGUCCCAUUAGCUUGUUGGUAAGGUAACGGCUUACCAAGGCAACGAUGGGUAGGGGUCCUGAGAGGGAGAUCCCCCACACUGGUACUGAGACACGGACCAGACUCCUACGGGAGGCAGCAGUGAGGAAUAUUGGACAAUGGGCGCAAGCCUGAUCCAGCCAUGCCGCGUGCAGGAUGACGGUCCUAUGGAUUGUAAACUGCUUUUGUACAGGAAGAAACACUGGUUCGUGAACCGGCUUGACGGUACUGUAAGAAUAAGGAAUCGGCUAAACUCCGUGCCAGCAG
RNAcentral lists this ribosomal RNA (489 nucleotides) under uncultured bacterium. RNAcentral describes it as "bacterial SSU rRNA". It matches the Rfam family "Bacterial small subunit ribosomal RNA", at positions 28 to 514 of the family's 1533-position model. The record is from RNAcentral.